AAACAACAAAAGCUGGACUUUGGUGCAAAACCAUGGUGGCACUGAAAAAAAUAGAGUGGUGCACGCGCUCUGGUCGUGCACUCAAAAUCCUGGCACACCAGCGAGAUCUACGUCAGCUCGGCUGCGGCGACUGUAAAAAGGCCCUUAGUUGGUCCAGGAAAACAAUCCGCUCUCUCUCAGCUGUCAUUUUAAAUCACAACCAACCAUACAACAAGGACAUCAAAAGUCAUGUCACUUUUAACCAUUGAAAGUGCCAACCCAACUCUCUGAAGUUCCUGUCUUCCUGAAGGUGUAUUUAAACUCAUGCUGAAGGACGUUACGUUUUACUGACCCUUUAAGAAGAAGACUCCUGAGGCGGAGUGGCAAUCAGGAGAGUCAGGAAUUUUUCCAGUGGGCCGGUCAUGUUUCGAGGCCGCUCUGGCCGAUCUGAUCGCCUGCUCCGGCUGCCGCUGCCCGCUCUGGCCGCCGCUGCCCACUGGUCCACCUAACCUGUACGGCGGGCCACAGCAGCCUCUUAUUUGCGAACAUUCAUCUCUCCCCCGCCCCCCGAGGGCCGGUGGUCUACAAAAUUUUGUUUAUCAAGUAACAGCGAAAACGCAAAAGGCGGAGCAGUAUGUCCUGUAUGUCCCUUACCGGCUAACGUAUUUCAAGAUGGCGCAUGAUUA
This is a long non-coding RNA of Perca fluviatilis (European perch), 665 nucleotides long. RefSeq lists it as uncharacterized. The record is from RefSeq and is a predicted model, not a curated record. NCBI's taxonomy places the organism in Eukaryota, Metazoa, Chordata, Actinopteri, Perciformes, Percidae. The transcript has 4 exons.